AAAGAGGUUUUUCUCUGUUUUCUUCUGAGCCGCCUCUGAGAAGCCUCUGUACGUACACGAUGUGGCUGAUCUGGGAUAAUCGUGCUGUGCACAAUGUUUAAGGAGAACAUUGCCAUGAAAUGGUGGGCUAAGGAAUAGCCUAAAAAACCUAAAAGGCUCGGGAAAAGCCAAAGAGAACAGCAAUGGGCUCUGGGAAGCCCCAGUGACGCUACAGAAAACAGCGUGGCUUUUAGGCACCUCCUCAGAGCAGCAGCAAUGUCUUGCUCCAGCCUGUGGGACAAUGGGGACUCUUAAUUACCACCUUGAAUUACCACAAGUGUUGCAAAAGCAGAAGGGACUAGGGAGCACGCAGAGCAGGUUGUGGACUAUAUGUCAAGUUUAAACAAGCAACAAGCCCCUCUGCAAAUAGGAACAGGUUUAGCCCUAAGUACUCGAUGAAGGUAGCUGUGAGUAACGUGAAGCGAAGCGGUUACGUCAAUCACCCCGAAAGCCUCGGAGAAGUGGUGCAAACACCUGAUACCCUCGCGGCCUCGGCAGUCUUUUUGGUUUGUUUGGCAGGGUAGUCCACCGAAGGGGGACAUCUCGAAGAGAAGCAGCGAGACCUGGGGAUCCGGUUGUUUGUUUUGGUCGUCGCCUGUGAGGCCAGCAUCCGAGCGUAAGAGGAAUCUAGGCGCUGUCUCGAAAAGAGAUGGCACCAAGGACAGCAAAUGCUGACAAAGAGAAGAGACGGACAAGCAUUUUCUUGUGAUUAAUACCGAAGGGACGGGAUGAGACAAGGAAGCCAAAAUGCAGUGGACCCUCGAUAUCCCCAGGAACUGCUACAGGAGGCGGCGUUCUGGCACGGGUAACUAAGGGCGAUGGAUUUUACUCUGCCUCCAUCAACAGGCGCUGGCUGGCAAAGUCGUCGUGUCCCAGCGGAGACUCUUAGGCAGGACGGGAGGAGUUCGGAUCCGCAGCCUGCCAGAAGAGCGUCGCCUGGGAGGGGUCACUAGCCUUGAGCUACAGGCGCUGGUGCUGAAGCCCAGUCGGGCAGUCGAAGGAGCCUCAUCGCAGCUGGGAGCUCUGCGGAGAUGCGUGGCCGGCUGUGGAGGAUGAGCUCUGACUUGCGGCGUGGACACGGCUAAGUCCUGGGCUGCAUCGUACGCGAGUGGGGCUGGGAGGUGCGAGGCGUUCGUCCCCUAGCCGUGGUCACUGGCGCCGCUGGCUGUGGCCGUUUGCCCACGGAGCUGAGAGGACCAAACAUACUAAUUGCCUGACCCGGAGAUGAAUUAGUGCUUGCAGGCUUUCAGGUAGGUUCAGUGCAAGUGCAGCUUAGUGCAGUCCCAUGGAGUGACGCUUGCACAUGCUCACAUUUGAAUGGUGGCUAAAACCAAGCCUCUAAACAGCAACUGUAACGCAAUUCUGGUGCUUGUUUUCCUAUUCUGCUGUACUUCUAAAGGAAGGGAAAGCUUCCUAAGCUGCGGGCAAAACUCCUUGGCUUCUCUUGACUGUUUCCAUGCUCUGGAAACAGCUUUGGGUGCUUUGAUGCUUGUUGCUUAAAGCUGAGGGUUUGGAAUUUUUCACUUAAGGUUGAUUGUUUAGCUUGCUGCUGAGGGUCUCUCACCCAGGAGUUACGGGUUAUUCCUUUCUUUUGUGGGGCUCACUCUUUAUCAGUCAGGGUUUACAGUUUGCUCAUGUAGCAAUCGGGGCGCAGAAUUUAAAAUCCAACCCCAUCCCUUGUCCCGAUCCAAUAUCGGGGGGGUUUCGUUACGAUCCCAAGGACGUGAUUAAGACGCUAAAACCGGUCAAAUAUCGUACAACCGUUUAACGUUAU
Long non-coding RNA from Dromaius novaehollandiae (emu), 1813 nucleotides. RefSeq lists it as uncharacterized. The transcript is spliced from 4 exons. The record is from RefSeq and is a predicted model, not a curated record. Lineage: Eukaryota; Metazoa; Chordata; Aves; Casuariiformes; Dromaiidae.